This 254-nucleotide ribosomal RNA is filed under the name uncultured bacterium. Its description in RNAcentral is "partial 16S ribosomal RNA". It matches the Rfam family "Bacterial small subunit ribosomal RNA", at positions 524 to 776 of the family's 1533-position model. The record is from RNAcentral.
UACGUAGGGUGCGAGCGUUGUCCGGAAUUAUUGGGCGUAAAGAGCUCGUAGGCGGUCUGUCGCGUCGAUCGUGAAAACUUGGGGCUUAACCCUGAGCUUGCGGUCGAUACGGGCAUGACUGGAGUUCGGCAGGGGAGACUGGAAUUCCUGGUGUAGCGGUGAAAUGUGCAGAUAUCAGGAGGAACACCGGUGGCGAAGGCGGGUCUCUGGGCCGAUACUGACGCUGAGGAGCGAAAGCGUGGGGAGCGAACAGG